UCGGAGAUAAUAGAGCUUUAAAGGUUAUUUCCUUCAUGCCUUUAUUGUGACUUUGCAUGGAACACAUUUGUUAUGUUCGGUGUUAGUGUCUCUAUUUUGUACCAGUUUUGUAUAUCCGUAGGGUACACUGCUAUAGAGUUAUCUUGAGUUAAGUGGUAAUGGAGUUUAUGCAUCACUACAGAGGAUAGUGAGACAGAACGGUGCCAAACUGUUGUUACUGAUUUAUCUGCACAGUAGUUGUUAGGGCAUAUAUUUAUAAAUAUGGUGACCAAAAUGCUGCGGGCGUUGGAAAUCUUUCUAUUGAAUGUUCUUGUUUGUGUUGCUAUUUAUGACCCUGUAGACGAAGUGACAAAACCACCAAAACGCUGGGUGGAUUUACCAUGGCCUGUACGUGUAGACAAGAAUAGUCGCCAUGCAUCUGGUUUAGUUACUGGUGAGGAGUACAUUCCACCUACCUAUGAUUACAGUAGCAAAAAUAUCAUGGGUCGAAUGGCAUCAGGUGAUGAUGGAAUAGAACACAUCAAGUCAACUGCAGGACAAGUGAUACCAGGCAGCCCUGUCAGCAGGCGCAGUGACUGGAAUAUUGUGCCUGACCCAAGCAGUGACGGUGGCUUCAGGCUGGUUGAAUCGUCAUUUGGAGACAUAAAUCCAGCACAAAUCCCACAGCAAGGAUCAAGUUCAAGUAUUGUAUAUGGAAAUGGAGGUAUUUAUCAAGAAAAUAAAGGAAAUAAUCCAGGAGAAUCAUCAAAAGUUCCAGGAACAGAAGCAACUAGUGGUGCUGCUGAUAUUUCUGGUGUCUCUUCAGCCCUUGGUUUGCAGUGGCCUGCCAGCAAUGUUCUGGGUAGUGGAAUGUCAAGUGCUGGAGUUGUCAGUACUGGCGUUUCUGUGCCUGAUAGUUCACAGAGACUUUCAGCAAAUGUUUUGGGUAGUGGAGUGUCAAGUGCAGCAGUUGUAGGUACUGGUGUUUACAUUGGUAGUGGAUAUCAGAGACCUCCAGUAAAUGUUAAAGGAAAUCAGCCUACACGUCACAGUGAUCAGGAAGUUUCCCAAAAUAGUCAGCAGCAAUCUCAUUCUAUUUCUGCAGAGAGCGGUAAUGUAGGAACUCCAUCAUCAUCGUCUUCCAAGACUCGCUGGAAGGUUUCAGCACCUGUGCAGCUGCAGUCACAGUUUCUUCCAGCUGCACACUGGCUUGGCUCUUCUGUUUCUGUAGGCCUGAGUCAGAAGUUACCAGCUGCUACUGGAGUAAUUCCUGCAGGCAGUCAGUAUCUGCCAUCCCCCUACCCACGGUCACCGGUACACACAGACGUAUCUUCAGUCUCAGCAUUUGGUUCAACGAAGUGUCCUCCUGGAGGUACAGGACAGUUUGUGUAUCGACCUGACUGUAGACAGUUUCUCAACUGCUGGAAGGGACGAGGCCUUGUCCAGUUCUGUGCACCAGGGACCCUCUUCAACCCUGAAACUCUGGAGUGUGACUUUCCAAACAAGGUUAAAUGCUUGCAAAGUUCACCAGAUGAAGAACAGUGGAACAACAUAGAGAUGGACAGUACAGUUGAGAGGCAUGUGGAGGGGAAGAAUCAAUUGCUGGAGCCGGCAUUAUCCACCACACAUACACCAUCUCCUGUACAAGCACAGACCAGAAAGUCAGACUGCCCCAUGGAGGGAGGGACAGGGCUUGCCCCCCAUCCGACAGACUGCAGCAAGUUCCUCAACUGUUGGAAGGGCACGGCUCAUAGUCAGCAGUGCGGACCAGGCACCUUGUUCAACCCCCAGACUUUGCAGUGUGACUUCCCUUAUAGAGUGACUUGCACUUUGUCAGCUUCAGGUUCUCAGGAGAGAGCACCUGGAAAAUUUUCACAAAAUAAGCCAAACAAGUCCCCACAGCUCCUGAAUGUUAUCACGCAGUCAACCAAGAUUUCAGCUGCAACUACUACUGCUGCUACAACUACUAGAACUACUACUACUAUGACUAGUACCACUCCUCCUCCUCCGCCUUCUACUCCUACCCCCACCACUACCAUAACACCUGCCCCGUCAGGAGCUAUCCAGAAUCUGUCCCUGCUGAUAAAUACAAGUGGCCAAGUUAUAAGGCUCCGAGGGGGACCAGGACCCUGGGAAGGCUAUGUUGAAGUACAGGGGCCAAGCCCUGGCUGGGGUCUUAUCUGUGACAAGACAAAUUCCUGGACUAUUGUGGAGGCUACAGUUGUGUGUCAUCAGCUGGGGUAUGAGAGGGGAGCAGAAUUAUCAUGGCAGGGCCGACCUCUGCAGCCCACUGAAGACACACUACGAGUCAGUGUAAGUGAAGUAGCUUGCAGCGGUAGUGAGGCUGCUCUGUCUGCAUGCCGUCUGGAGCCCGGACACCAGUGUGUGAUAGCCAGAGAUGCGGUUGGUGUCCGUUGCUACAAGAACUGGGUGUCACAGUGCCAACUUGGCGAAGUGAACCAUGGCAAGAAAUGCUACAGUUUGGUGGUUCCCAGUGUACGCCAUGCUCUUGAGGGCUUCACUCAUGGGGAGGCGCUUAGAGACUGCCAGGCCCGUGGGUCACAACUCCUCGAUAUCACUUCCCAGGUCGAGAGUGACUUCAUAUCCGAAUGGCUGCUGCAGUUACAGCCCAAUAUAACCAACGUUCUUACUGCAGGUGUAGGUGUGUCUGUGUUUCAUCGUCCGCUGUGGAUCUGGGAAGGGUCUACUGAACCAUUCGUAUUUACAAAAUGGUGGCCAGGUUGGGCGCAUGAUGUGAGGAGCCCACCUAAGACAGGCCAUAGACCGAUCUGUAUUGUUGCCAAGCGUGUCUUCCCAUGUGAACAUGCAUAUUACACAAGUGAUGCCAUUACUGACAUGGAUGCUGAUGCACAUGAUCACCCAACUGUCAGGAUGUGUGCUGCCAACUAUUUCUUCUGGGACACUGAGGAUUGCAGUGUUACACAUAGCCACCCUUAUAUCUGUGAGAGACCUCUGGAUGAUAUUGGUUGCAUGGAUGGAGACAAGUACAACUAUCAGGGUUCUGCUAACAUGACAGCCAAUGGCUUACCAUGUCUUCAUUGGGAUGACCCCCUGAUCAUCCCCAAGCUCAGCUACAGAGUGUCAGAAAGGGAGAGGAAUGCCACCCUCACAGGUCACAACUACUGUCGAAAUGUCGGAGGUAAAGCGCAGCCAUGGUGCUUUGCAGGCAAGCAGAGGAGUUCACAGCCAUGUGCCAUCCCAACUUGUUGGCGCAAAGGUGUUGAGAAAGUGAUUACAGUGACGAAACAUGAGUGUAAACCUGAAGAGUUUGAGUGCCGGCCGGGAAGCUGUAUACCAGUCAAAUGGAAAUGUGACGGGCAGAAGGACUGUUCCAACGGCCUUGAUGAACGUUACUGUGAAGAUGGCUUCGAAGAUGUAUCGAAACAUUCCAACCACCGUCUUGAGCACCAUGACAAAGAGAAAUGGUUGCAGACAGAUGCCAGAAAAUGUGCUCAGUAUUGUCGUAAAGCCAAGGAGUUUGUCUGCCGAUCCUUCAGUCACCGGGAACAAGAUUCAGUGUGUCUUCUUAGUGACAGUAACAUUGGCUUAUCAGGAAAUCUUGUGGAGGAAGAAGGUUGGGACUACUACGAGGUUAAGUUGCUGUCACUGAAGUGUGAUGCCAAGUUCCAGUGCGGUAAUGGGAAAUGCAUCAACAUGAGCCUCGUGUGCAAUGGCAGGAAUGACUGUGGAGACAGAUCAGACGAGAAGAACUGCUCUGCAGCGUAUCUUGAUUAUGCCAUCCGCCUGGCAGGAAGUAAUGUCUCCAAUGAGGGUCGUGUUGAAGCCAGAGUGUUUGGUCAGUGGGGCCUGAUUUGUGAUGAUCUGUUUGGGCUGCGAGAUGCUGAAGUUGUCUGCCGAGAGUUGGGGUUCCCCCUGGGUGCGACAGAAGUGUUGCCACCAGGAUCAUACAUUUCCCGUGACUACACACAGCCGAAGGUUUUCCUAGUGGAUGACCUGAAGUGCCUUGGCAAUGAGAGCUCUAUCCUGGAGUGCGAAUUUGCAGGCUGGGGAGUCCAUGAUUGCCUCCCUGAGGAAGCUGUUAGCGUUGUGUGCAGUGUGCCAGGCCAGACGUGUGCUCCAGGCUUCUGGAAGUGUGGGGGCAGCGGCGAAUGUCUUCCCAUUGCGUACCUGUGUGACAACAUUAAUGACUGUGAAGAUGCUAGUGAUGAAGAUCCCUCACAGUGUAACUUGCCUGUGGAGCUGCGAUUGGCAGGAGGACCCAACAACAUGGAAGGGCGUGUUGAAGUGCGGUAUCAUGGAGUAUGGGGAACUGUUUGUGAUGACGACUUCGCAGAACCUGCCGCUACAGUCAUCUGUCGUUCAUUGGGAUUUGGUGGCCCAGCACAGGCAAAGAAGGAUGGGUUUUUUGGUCCUGGAGAAGGUCAGAUCUGGCUGGAUCAGCUGCACUGUGUGGGCAAUGAAACAGGAAUAGCAGAAUGUCUGCAUUCAUACUGGGGAGAACACAACUGCAAACACAACGAAGAUGCAGCCGUCAUCUGUGCACCAGGAGAUGUUCGGCAGUCACUGAACCUCCAGAGGGCAGAUGACCUGCCUCGUGCAAAUUAUGUCACACCAGUCAGUAAUAUUCUCCCAUCUGAGUGUGGCAAGAGAAACAUAGACCCCUUGAACCUGGGAGAUGGCCCGGUGGCUCGUAUUGUGGGAGGGUAUGAAGUGCCGAGGGGAAGCUAUCCAUGGCAGGCAAGUGUGCGAGUGAGAACGGGAGGGAAGUCUGUGCACUGGUGUGGGGCGGCUGUGGUCUCACCACUCCACAUCCUCACCGCUGGCCACUGUAUGCAGGACUACACCAAGGGAGCCUACUUCAUCAGGGUUGGAGAUCAUGACACAGAGGAAGCAGAAGGAACAGAGCAAGAGUUGAACAUUGAUGAGAUAUACUUGCAUGAGGAGUUCAACAAGAACAUGCGCCUCAACAAUGAUAUUGCUCUGGUGAAAGUGAAAGGGCUGGGAAUGCAACUGGGUCUACACGUCAUGCCUGCCUGCCUGCCGCAUCAUGGUGUCCAGUAUACUCCGGGUCUCAACUGCACCAUCUCCGGCUGGGGCUCGGUGAAAGCAGCUGGUGCAGGUUAUUCUCGUCAUCUUAGGGCCACUUGGAUCCCUUUGCUGCCCCAUGAAACAUGUAAGGCCAGCUUUGUCUACGGUACAAAAGCCAUAGGAGAUGGAAUGUUUUGUGCUGGGCUGCUGGAAGGGGGAGUGGAUUCCUGUCAAGGUGACUCAGGUGGAGCCCUUGUGUGUCUCAUUAAUGGUGAGUUUACAUUGUACGGAAUUACAAGUUGGGGCCACGGGUGUGGGCGACCUAACAAACCCGGUGUGUAUACCAAUGUGGGCUUCUACAGAGACUGGAUCGACCAUAAACUGGAAGACUCCAUGUCAGGGCGCUGAGAGAAGCCACUGCAGCAGCUUUCACGCCAGAUAGCAGAUACAUUGCGAUUUACCGAUAUACCGUUUAAUUCGAUUACGACGUGGUUUCCUAGCAACUGUUCGUGCAAGUGCCACACGUGACGAAGAAGUGGGGUUAAUGUUUUAAGAAUUAUGCGGCAAAUAUGAAGAAAUGCCAUGUUAUAUGUGCAGUUUUUGUCAUGGUACUGGCAAUUCUCUAUAUAAUGGAAACAGACACAGCAACGUUCAGUGCUGUUCAGUCAGCAGUGUUCACUUCUGAUCACCGAGAUCUCUUCCAUUUUGUUUCUCAUCCAGACACAGUGGAAAUGGUCUGUAUGGAAUAUGUGAUAUGUGGUUUCAUUGGAUAUCUCACUUUCGGUCAGCUGACAGUAAGUUGGUGGGGGAGGGGAAACUCUACCAGGCAGUGUACACCUUGCCUCUUCUAGGUGAUUAUGUGAUGUUAUUUCGAGCAGUUGAAUAUGUGCCAGAGUCUCGCAUUGUCCUUGAGUCAGAGUCCUUGCUGAAACCUCGGAUAGAAGUCACAUCAGUUCCUAUGCGAGGUGAACAGUCGAAACUGACAUUUAAGUUAACUUUCCGUAGAUCGUCUACUCUGUUUCAGUACACUUUGGGGCCUAUCCUACAUAUAUUGGCACAGCAGCACAUCAAGAACUCCCUGUCUCUCCUUGGUCAGAUGUAGGACACCAGCGUAGCUCAUCUCACUGGUUCUCAAGGGAUCUUGUUGGGCAUUCCUAAAAGACGAAACCUCUUCUGGGAUUGUUCCAGGCGAAAUAGUGGAGGCGGGGCACUGAAGUAGGAAUCCCAUUAGCCUAUCAGUCAGUGGAUCCCCUCCGCAGUGAAUUCUCUGGGCUGCUACUGAAACUACUGCAUCAUCACAGCCACAACAUCUUCAUCUGACUCAAAUCUAAGGUCCUUUAGUGCUUUCUUGAGGGGGUCAGCACCUGGAAGUUACAUGGUGAUAAGUCUGGGCUGUAUGGGCAAUGUGUGCAGCAUGUCAUGGAAAGUGUGGGCCACAUGGGAACAGGAAUUCAGUGAUAUCUCUCAUGAACAUACUAAAGAAUGUUUCCUCUUGAUCGUGGCACAAUGUUUGUAGAUGGUUCCACAGUAGCACUGUGUGUUGAUGGGGAAGUCAGGGUCCUUGAGUACUAAAGGACCAUAGUUCAGGUUGGACAGAGAUGUCAGUUUAAACGUGGUGUGAUGUUUCUAGGUGGAACCCAGAGAGAUCUUUGCAGAGGGAAUCCAGGGGUUGGUGCACCAAUGGGAUGCCCACUUCAGUGCCCGUAGUUACUGCUUUUAACAGCCUGUACUCCAGUGUUUUGAAAUGAACUGCUGUCUUCAUCUUGUUCUAUGCUGAAGAUAACAGAAGAAGGUUUCUCCCAAACGUUUGUACUCAUCAGCCAAACUGAGAGGUGUCACAUCCCAGAAGACCAUAUCUUUAUGCAGCACCGGUCCACAACGCAGCAUGUAGUGGAUCUCAUGAUUCCAAAUUUAUAAGCCUGUCAGACUUUUCAUUACGGUGUAGUGCCUGUAGGUGCCUUUGAAUCUCUCUGUCAGCUCCUCACUGACAGCCAGGUGGAUUAGUAGAAGGGGAAACUGGUCUGUUUCUGCUAAAGACAGGUGGAAUUGUUGAUAUACUGAACUUUUCGUGGAUUUUGUCCAGAGGAUGGGGUUGUAUUCAAUGAGAGUUGCUGAGUAUGAUUUCUGCAGAUGUUUCAAAAUGAGAAAGAGAAGUGAAUAAGAUAAGUUAACUGAA
RNA transcript from Cryptotermes secundus, 7165 nucleotides. RefSeq lists it as uncharacterized. The record is from RefSeq and is a predicted model, not a curated record. NCBI's taxonomy places the organism in Eukaryota, Metazoa, Arthropoda, Insecta, Blattodea, Kalotermitidae. The transcript is spliced from 26 exons.